UACGUAGGGGGCUAGCGUUGUCCGGAAUCAUUGGGCGUAAAGCGCGUGUAGGCGGUCCGGUAAGUCCGCUGUGAAAGCCAGGGGGCUCAACCCUUGGAUGCCGGUGGAUACUGUCGGGCUUGAGUACGGAAGAGGCGAGUGGAAUUCCUGGUGUAGCGGUGAAAUGCGCAGAUAUCAGGAGGAACACCAAUUGCGAAGGCAGCUCGCUGGGACGUUACUGACGCUGAGACGCGAAAAGCGUGGGGGAGCAAAACAGG
RNAcentral lists this ribosomal RNA (257 nucleotides) under uncultured bacterium. RNAcentral describes it as "partial 16S ribosomal RNA". It matches the Rfam family "Bacterial small subunit ribosomal RNA", at positions 524 to 776 of the family's 1533-position model. The record is from RNAcentral.